Molecule: transfer RNA, 71 nt
Filed under: Sympagella nux
Lineage: Eukaryota; Metazoa; Porifera; Hexactinellida; Lyssacinosida; Rossellidae
Description: tRNA-Phe
Rfam family: tRNA
About the family: Transfer RNA (tRNA) molecules are approximately 80 nucleotides in length.
Source: RNAcentral
GUCCCAGAAACUCAAUACAGAGUAAUAUUUUGAAAAGAUAGAGGCUGCAGGUUCAAAUCCUGUCUAGGACA